Molecule: ribosomal RNA, 1857 nt
Filed under: Triticum aestivum (bread wheat)
Lineage: Eukaryota; Viridiplantae; Streptophyta; Magnoliopsida; Poales; Poaceae
Description: partial small subunit ribosomal RNA
Source: RNAcentral
AUGGAUAGUUCAGGAGUUUUUUACACAUAUCCUACUCUGGGUGAUAAGCCGUUGCAGAGCCUUGAAGAAGUUGCAAGUGCUGUUGAUUCCUAUGCUAAUCCCAAUAGCAAUGUCAUGUCUGAUAAGAUGCUUUCAGAGAAGGAACGUGCUGUACGUGAACGUCUUUACUUUCCAGAUGGCACCCCGAAGGUCUACACAAGGGCUCAAGUAGUGAAGAGGGAACGUGACAAAGUUCGGAGACUGGUUGAAGCUUUACUGGACAAGCGGAAUGACGCUGAGGAUCGUGUGGAUGAACUCGAAGAAAUUGUUCAUUGGCAAUCAAUCUGCAAAGGUGUCGAAUGGUACUAUCAUCUCAAUAUCACUGUGAAGACCAAAGGAGCUGCCGAUGAUGCGGGCAGCACCAGUCUAUUCUUCGUUGAAGUCGCAUGUGAUUCGAAUGAUAUCACAGGAUAUUAUAUCAACACUUUCUCCAGGGUCGACACUGACGGCCAGGAUCGUGGAGCUACCUGCAAUGGCUGUAUAAACAAUGAAAGUGAUGGUAUGAAGCACCCGCGUGCUGCUUCAUUCAAAGGCGGCCACAUGAACAUCGGUUUCCCACUUGGUUUUGGUCCCUGUAAUGAGAAGCAGUGGGUCGACUCCCGUCACAGUGAAGCUCAGUAUGAAGAAAUGCUAAAAAAAGAGGAGGAAAGGAUAAGAGACCAUUUUGAGGCUGUUCAAGCAUCGAGACGAAACCCAAUCUGCUGGCAGCACGUCCUUAGCUUCGGCCCUGUUCGCAUAGACUGCCACGUCUCUCGUGCCCCCCCUCGCUGUGCUCUGGCUAUCCUCGGCAGGGCUGCAGUGCCGUUGCACCAUUGGGUGAUACUAGCAUUGUGCCUAGGUGGCGUGCACAGAGUUUGUUACGCAGCUAGUGCCUGCUCCAACAUUGGCACUGGCAGCCACAACACCCAUUACAUCCGAAGGGCAUCGGAAACAUCUGUUAGUCGGCCUGCAACAGCAAAAAGCAAAUCCCGAGUUAUGUCGCGAGCUAAACAUCCCCAGCCGCCCUGCCGGGUACUGUUAUUGUAUCCUGCAUCAACAUUAAUCAUCACCCGGUCGAUGGGCGGGGCUUUCCACCUGGCUUAUGCCCGGCUCGUUCGCCCCUCGGACAUCCGAGCCCACGUAGAUGGCUUCUACAAAGCCCUAUUCUCCCCCACCCCUCAGGGUGGUGCUGCUCUGGCCCCCGAUACUUGGUCGGUGGGCCAGUUAGUUUUUGACGAGACUAAUGCCGCCUUGGUGGCACCUUUCUCGGAGGACGAGGUCCUCGUGGCGAUCAAGGGCAUGAACCCCUCCUCGGCCCCGGGUCCGGAUGGCUUACCAGUAACCUUUUUCAAAACGUUCUGGCUAACCAUCAAACCAGAGGUCAAGGCCCUCUUAGAUGAAUUCUUUUCGGGGACCAUGGACCUUGGGCGCCUGAACUAUGGGGUCAUCACUCUCAUCCCCAAAGUUCCGGGCGCCUCGGACAUCCACCAGUUUCGUCCUAUCACUGAGGCCCAAACCAUUCCUGACCGGCUGAACUGCCGCCUGGGUACCUUCCCCAUGACUUAUUUGGGGAUACCCAUUAGUGAUUCUCGGCUUACCAUCGCUGACCUCCGCCCGACUGUGACCCGGAUGCAGCACAGGGUUGAGCCCUGGAGGGGGAGGUGGCUCUCGAAAGCGGCCCGGGUAAUCCUCAUCAACUGCUCGCUUGCUAACCUUCUCUGGUUUCUCAUGAGCUUCUACAGUCUUCAUCAGACUCUCCAUCAGGAGAUUGCCAAAUACCAGUCUAGAUUUUUUUGGGCAGGCGAGGGCGACAAGCAGAAAUACCAUAUGGUGAGCUAG